AGUGAACGCUGGCGGUAGGCCUAACACAUGCAAGUCGAACGGCAGCACAGUAAGAGCUUGCUCUUACGGGUGGCGAGUGGCGGACGGGUGAGGAAUACAUCGGAAUCUACUUUUUCGUGGGGGAUAACGUAGGGAAACUUACGCUAAUACCGCAUACGACCUACGGGUGAAAGCAGGGGAUCUUCGGACCUUGCGCGAUUGAAUGAGCCGAUGUCGGAUUAGCUAGUUGGCGGGGUACAGGCCCACCAAGGCGACGAUCCGUAGCUGGUCUGAGAGGAUGAUCGGCCACACUGGAACUGAGACACGGACCAGACUACUACGAGAGGCAGCAGUGUGGAAUAUUGGACAAUAGGCGCAAGCCUGAUCCAGCCAUACCGCGUGUGUGAAGGAGGCCUUCGGGUUGUAAAGCCCUUUUGUUGGGAAAGAAAAGCAGCAGGUUAAUACCCCGCUGUUCUGACGGUACCCAAAAAAUAAGCACCGGCUAACUUCGUG
This 492-nucleotide ribosomal RNA is filed under the name uncultured bacterium. Its description in RNAcentral is "partial 16S ribosomal RNA". It matches the Rfam family "Bacterial small subunit ribosomal RNA", at positions 29 to 507 of the family's 1533-position model. The record is from RNAcentral.